This 924-nucleotide long non-coding RNA is filed under the name Lynx pardinus (Iberian lynx). The record is from RNAcentral. Lineage: Eukaryota; Metazoa; Chordata; Mammalia; Carnivora; Felidae.
GCUCUCCUCCCAACUCAUACUGCCCCCUCCCUACCUUUGAACAGUCGCCUUCCAACACAAGCAACAAUAAAGGUAAGGGAGAAAGAGAAACUACCUCGUAGCCACCUUCACUCCAGCCCAGCCCCACGGUCCUGGCCCAGCGGGCUCGUGCGUUGCUUUAUUUUCUUUUUUCUGAGUGGCUGGAGCAGUCCCGAUCUGCCUAGAGACUCGCGCGGCCUGUUCUCUCAUUGGUCGUUGCGGCCACCCGGAGACAGAAGGCGCCGGGNNNNNNNNNNNNNNNNNNNUCUGCCUGGUAACAGAUUCUGAUUGGUCAAUAGGGGAGGGAAAAUCCAAAGUUGGUCUUAUUUGAGUGAAGAGGGGGAAGUCCGGGUUAGGUUUCGGUUAAAACUGGGGUCGGUUGGGACUGCCGGUCCCGAGAGGUUCUUCUCUUAAAGGGACCGCAGGACGAAAGGCCGGGCGCUGGGCUCCCUUUGGAGCUUUCUUUUCCUUUGCCCUCGUCUUCAGGGUUUCAGUUUUGCCUUCGGUUGUCAGAGCAACUGGAAGAAAAGAAUCAGUGGCUGAUAAAAUAACUGGAAAAUUAUGGGUAGUAGUGAUGGAGGUUCGCUGAAAGUUCACACCACCUCCUUUUGAUGAAAAAUACGUUGAACACCCCACCCUCCGACCCCCGCCCUCAACACAGCCUACAGGCAUCCACAGCAAAUCUGCAAACACGGGCUCACGUUGCUCUCUGAUGGAGGCCUCAAAAUCUCAGCAGCUGUACCACAUUAAGUUAAAAUGCCAAGCGUUUCUUGGUUUCCCGUGGGUAUUUUAUUUCCUUCCGAAGAGUUGCUAAUGUAUUUGCAUACCUGUAGUUCUGCACUUGGUGAACACUGGAAUUUUGACUGACACCCCCAGGGGGUGCUGGAUGCUCACAUGAACUCUUGA